This 259-nucleotide ribosomal RNA is filed under the name uncultured Staphylococcus sp. Its description in RNAcentral is "partial 16S ribosomal RNA". It matches the Rfam family "Bacterial small subunit ribosomal RNA", at positions 103 to 354 of the family's 1533-position model. Lineage: Bacteria; Bacillati; Bacillota; Bacilli; Caryophanales; Staphylococcaceae. The record is from RNAcentral.
CGGGUGAGUAACACGUGGAUAACCUACCUAUAAGACUGGGAUAACUUCGGGAAACCGGAGCUAAUACCGGAUAAUAUAUUGAACCGCAUGGUUCAAUAGUGAAAGACGGUUUUGCUGUCACUUAUAGAUGGAUCCGCGCCGCAUUAGCUAGUUGGUAAGGUAACAGCUUACCAAGGCAGCGAUGCGUAGCCGACCUGAGAGGGUGAUCGGCCACACUGGAACUGAGACACGGUCCAGACUCCUACGGGAGGCAGCAGGU